UUCGUAGAAUGACGUACUUUUUAAGUAACUUGUCCAACCAAAUUAUAGAAUGGCCUGUUGUGCUCCUAUCCAGCACAGAAUGGGUUCUUGAGUUGGUGUCCGCAAAUAAAACUCAGAGUGACAUUUUCUUGUAUUUUAUUAGUAAUUAUAAUGAACAACGAUGACACAGACGACGAUUUUACGGACGGCGGACGAUGUGAUUAAAAUCAUAUGAAGACGGACGACGGAUGAUCGGAAGAUGAUUAAAGAACGAUGAUAAAGUACAACUUAUUCACUAAUUAAUUAACACGUUGAUGUGGCUUUUCUUAUUUCACGACGAUCAAGACGAGAAACAAAAGAAUGUCCUCGACACUAGCGCUCGCUCUUUAUUUAUGCUCUCGGUACGCUUACACAGUUUUAUUACUUACCUUCUUCUUCAAUGGUCACGUACAGUCCGACCCGAGUGACUUUGUCACAAGCUUUCUUUGUUUUAUACUAAUACCUUAGCACAUUCUUACAUUAUCUACGUGAGAAAAUAAUAUAAAAUAUAAAGGAGAAAUACAGGGGUUAUAACAGGCCAAAUGAACAAGAACAAACAAUAAUAGAAAACUACUUUCAAUCAAAAAACUUUCCUGGAGUUAUUGGUGUUAUAGAUGGAACAUAUAUACGUAUAAAUAAGACAUCAAAUGAUCUCUUAUCUCAACUCUUAUCUCAAUCGAAAGCAUUAUUUUUCUAUUCAGGUAUGACAUUUAUUUUUUUAAACGAAUAAUUGGUAACUAUUAUUAUGGUUUAAUAGGCGCAAGUUGUAUGUGACCAUCAAAGAAGAAUUAGGGAUAUCUUUGUAGGAUAUCCAGGCUCUGUCCAUGACAGUAGGGUUUUUCGUACUUCUCCACUAUCAGACAACUUAGCGGAAAUAUGCGGAAACUUUUAUAUACUAGGCGACACUGGAUAUCCAUGUCUUCCUAAUUUAAUGACACCUUUCCGUGAUUGUGGACAGUUAACAGCUCGACAACAAAACUACAAUUUUCAACAAAUUUUCCUCUUACGCAAUUAUUCGAGAUUUGUAAAGAUUUCGUAAAUUCGCGAAACAUCACAAAAUAGGAAGUAUCUAUCGUUUAGAAAAAACCGUUGCACCGCAACCCUAACCAAUACAUCAAAAAUUUUCCUUUUUCUUGCGUAAAACAUAGAUAAAGAGCAUUAUAAAUUGACUAGAUUUUUCUUCUCUCCUCAUACUUCAUUGUGAAAGUUUAUUGAGGACGUUGAAAAAGUGAAAAAAAAAAAUGUCCGAGUGUAAUGAAUUUGUCUGCAUCAUCAAAGAAAAUCCUGAUGGGACAACGACCAUCAGGAAAUUUAAAUUUGAUGCGAAGUGAAAGAUGAAUCUCAGAAGAGUGAACCGGAGGAGACUAAAAAAGAAGAAAAACAAAUCAUCAGUAGGAUGGAGGUAUAUGAUUCGGAAUGGGAUGAUGAUGUUACAAUAAUCAAGACGAGUAAUACCUCCUUCGUAAACAUAGCAAACCCCUCAUCAUCGCAAUGUAUUUCAAAUAGACCAACAUCACCUUUUAGGUACAAAAAAUGGGGGAGAUGGAGGAGAAGGAGGAUAAUUCGGAAUGAGGACGAUAUGCUAUCCUCAGGCCCCCAUCCCCUUCUCCCCCAUCAACAAAAUCGUCGAGUGAGAUAAGUGGUGACGGAGUUGGUGAUGAGGAUGAGGGAUAUAACGUUUACAACACCAAAAUCACACUUUAUACCAACCAAUUUAGAACGGGCCCCUGAAAAGAUGAGACUGAGACCUUUCCAGGAAUCCACCAGGUACUGUCAAAGUCAAAGAAUUAAUCAAAACCUCGAAAAUAUUACAAAAAUACUUUAUAAAAUUGUAGAGGAAUUAAGAAAGUAGAGGAAAAAUAAAAAAAAAUUUAGUACGUAAUUUUUUGUUUUUAUUGUUUUAAUUACGUUAAUUCACUACAAAGAACCUUAAUUUUUUUUAUAAACUAUUUCCUAUUUUUUCUAUACCCUACAAAUGACUAAAAGAAAUUCUACUCGAACAUACAUGCGGGGUGGAGGUGGUGUUUGUGAAAGGUUCCCAAAAGGAAACGCUACUAAAAAAUCUACUACCUUGAGAAAAACCGAUUAUCAUUAAUCUACAACAUAAUUUGUAUUGUCCUCUACUCUCAAUUAGUUUAAAUGCUUGUAGACAUCAUUAUAAAUCUACAAGUAAUUGUGUAAUUGAAAAUUUUAAAUACUAAAUUUUUAAAACAUCACCACUCUCAUAAUUUAAAUGAUGUAAAUUAUUUUCCAAACAACUUGCCUACGUUCUUGUUUAUUUAGUCUUUCUUUACCGUGGUCGCGUUGAAAAAGGAAAUGCGAAAUCGACGCACCAUCGCUGAUGGCUAGUUCUUUUACUCGAAAUCCUAAAGAGAGUGUAAAGCCUUGCAUAUCGAUAACUUUAAUCGAAUUUCGCGAUGCCAUAAUUUUUUAAACGAUGAUUUAGUAUAGGAGAUACAAUCACUUCUAUUUUUUUAAUACAUUUCAAAAAUCUUAGACUAUCUCUACAGACUUAUUCCUAAUUAGGAGACUCGAUUUCUAUUAAUUCGAUUAAAUUUAUUCAUGAAUGAUUAUAGUUGAGGAAAACAUAAUCGAUCUUCUUCUCUCCUCCUCCACCUUCCCCUCUAUACAUUUCGUCUAAGAUAUCAAGUUAUGUGAAUUCAUUUAAUUUAGUUUUUAGUCUUUUUGUUUCCUGUUUGUUGUAGUUUUCGGCAAUACAUUCCAAGCAAGCCGAACAAAUAUGGCAUAAAAAUUUUCGCUCUUUGCGAUGCUAGAAUGUACUACACCGCUAAUUUAGAGGUAUAUGUCGGAAAGCAACCAGAAGGUCCAUAUUCAAGUAAUAACAGCGCAUUAUCGGUUGUUGAAAGAUUAUGCACAGCUAUACAGGGAACAGGUAGAAACUUGACUACCGAUAAUUGGUUCACUAGUUUGGAACUAGCU
Onthophagus taurus is the source of this 2958-nucleotide non-coding RNA. Lineage: Eukaryota; Metazoa; Arthropoda; Insecta; Coleoptera; Scarabaeidae. The record is from RefSeq and is a predicted model, not a curated record.